RNAcentral lists this long non-coding RNA (279 nucleotides) under Solanum tuberosum (potato). Its description in RNAcentral is "long non-coding RNA (STUB_LNC003701)". The record is from RNAcentral. Lineage: Eukaryota; Viridiplantae; Streptophyta; Magnoliopsida; Solanales; Solanaceae.
UUCUAGAAAAUAAGAGAAAGCUUAGUUAAAUGGAUAUCGAUAUAAAUGACAUUUCAAUGACUUUAAUCAAUUAAAGAAAUAACCAUAGUCAAAUUUAAACAUAUGUCAAAUUUCAGCACUAAAUAAAUUAACACCUCAUUUAGGAUUGCAAACCCAAAAUAACUAAAUCAUAACCAACUAAUGACCCUAUAUCUCUGGACGACAUUCAGACUAAACAAUGAACCAUCAAUGAGUAUAAAAAGAGCGGAUAUAUUCCACUAACGAUGAUCAACAAGCAGC